GAUGUGAAAGCCCACGGCUCAACCGUGGAGGGGUCAUUGGAAACUGGAAGACUUGAGUGCAAGAAGGAGGAAAGUGAAUUUCAUGUUGAGCGGUUAAAUGGGAGAAAUAGGAGAACAACCAGUGGCGAGGCGACUUUUUUGGUCUGUAACGACAAUUGAGCCCGAAAGCGUGGGGAAGCAACCGGGUUAGGAUCCCUGGGUGUUCCAGCCGGUAACGAAUAAUUCUUAAUGGUAGGAGGGUUUCGCCCCUUAAGUGCGAAAGUUAACGCUUUAACCAUUCCCCCGGGGGAGUACGGCGCCAAGGUUGAAACCAAAGGAAAUUGAGGGGGCCCCCCCCAACCGGGGGACCUUUUGUUUUAAUUGGAGCCAACGGGAAGACCCUAACCAGUUCUGGCCUUCUUUUGCCACCCCAAAAAAUAGGGUUUUCCUUUGGGAAGAAAAUUACCGGUUGGUCCAUGUUGUUGUUCAGCUGGGUUCUUAAGUGGUGGGGUUAAUUCCGCCAACAACCCCACCCCUUAUUUUUGUUGCCAUCCUUUAAUUGGGCCAUUUUAAGGGGACGCCGGUGGCCAACCGGAAGGAAGGGGGGGAGGAGUUAAAUUCUCCUUCCCCUUUUUACCUUGGGCACCCCACUUCUUCCAAUGGCGGGUCAAAAAAGCGCCAAGACCGGGAGGGGAAGUUAUUUUAAAAAACCCUUUUCCAUUUGGGAUGGUGGGUUCCAAUUGCCUUCCUGGAAGCGGGAACCGUUGGUAAUCGGGAAUCACCAGGCCCGGGGAAUAAGUUCCCCGGCCUUGGACCCCCCCCCCCUCCACACCCGAAGAUUUGGUACCCCCGAAGGCGGUGGGGGUACCC
RNAcentral lists this ribosomal RNA (849 nucleotides) under Bacillus cereus. Its description in RNAcentral is "partial 16S ribosomal RNA". It matches the Rfam family "Bacterial small subunit ribosomal RNA", at positions 591 to 1441 of the family's 1533-position model. The record is from RNAcentral. Lineage: Bacteria; Bacillati; Bacillota; Bacilli; Caryophanales; Bacillaceae.